This 253-nucleotide ribosomal RNA is filed under the name uncultured bacterium. RNAcentral describes it as "partial 16S ribosomal RNA". It matches the Rfam family "Bacterial small subunit ribosomal RNA", at positions 524 to 776 of the family's 1533-position model. The record is from RNAcentral.
GACAGAGGGUGCAAACGUUGUUCGGAAUUACUGGGCGUAAAGGGCGCGUAGGCGGCCUGUUAAGUCGAACGUGAAAUCCCCGGGCUCAACCCGGGAACUGCGUCCGAUACUGGCAGGCUCGAAUCCGGGAGAGGGAUGCGGAAUUCCAGGUGUAGCGGUGAAAUGCGUAGAUAUCUGGAGGAACACCGGUGGCGAAGGCGGCAUCCUGGACCAAUAUUGACGCUGAGGAGCGAAAGCCAGGGGAGCAAACGGG